CAAACGAACUUCGGGUUAGUGGCGGACGGGUGAGUAACGCGUGAGAAUCUGCCCUCAGGAGGGGGACAACAGCUGGAAACGGCUGCUAAUACCCCAUAUGCCGCGAGGUGAAAUGAAUUUCGCCUGAGUGAUGAGCUCGCGCCUGAUUAGCUAGUUGGUGUAGGUAAUGGCUCACCAAGGCAUCGAUCAGUAGCUGGUCUGAGAGGAUGAUCAGCCACACUGGGACUGAGACACGGCCCAGACUCCUACGGGAGGCAGCAGUGGGGAAUUUUCCGCAAUGGGCGAAAGCCUGACGGAGCAACGCCGCGUGAGGGAUGAAGGCCUCUGGGCUGUAAACCUCUUUUAUCAAGGAAGAAGAUCUGACGGUACUUGAUGAAUAAGCCACGGCUAAUUCCGUGCCAGCAGCCGCGGUAAUACGGGAGUGGCAAGCGUUAUCCGGAAUUAUUGGAGCGUAACAGCGUCCGCAGAGACGGCCCUUCAAGUCUGCUGUUACAAAAGUGGAGCUUAAACUCCAUCAUGGCAGUGGGAAACUGUUGGGCUUGAGUG
This 546-nucleotide ribosomal RNA is filed under the name uncultured Synechococcus sp. RNAcentral's name for it is "bacterial SSU rRNA". It matches the Rfam family "Bacterial small subunit ribosomal RNA", at positions 63 to 648 of the family's 1533-position model. Lineage: Bacteria; Bacillati; Cyanobacteriota; Cyanophyceae; Synechococcales; Synechococcaceae. The record is from RNAcentral.